GUUCUAAUUCAUGUUGAGCUGCUGAAAUAGAAUACUUGUGAUCAGCUCAUUUAUGAAGGAGAGAGGUUUAGUUGGCUUCAUGAUUCUGGAUGUCUAAGAGCCUAGUGCUAGCAUGUCCUUCCCUUCGUAUGAGGUUGUCUAAGAGCCUAGUGCUAGUAUGUCCUUCCCUUCGUAUGAGGUUGUCUAAGAGCCUAGAGCUAACAUGUCCUUAGCUUCACAUGAGGUCUUUGCGUAGCUUCAACUCACAGCAGACAGAGGAAGAGGAGCAAGUGGAUGUGUGUGGAAGACAAAAGGGGUCCUGACUCCUGUGGCAACAAACCCAGUCCUCAGAGAGUGAGGAGCCAUGCUUGUGAGACCUUACUCAGUUUAGAAAGAAUGACAUUAAACCCACUUGAAGGUCGCACUUUCCAACCCUGCUUCCCUGGCAAAUGCAUUUCUGCAGGAGUUCUGGAUAAACCUCAACUCACUCACAUGAAGUCUGAGAGGCAGCAGGGUGUGAAAUGACAACAUGUGUACAAUUAAAUAUAAUCAUACCCACCCCUCCCCACUCCAACUUCCCCUACACAUACCCCACAACAUAUCCACCUCCCAACUUCAUGCUUUUCUCUUUUAUAACUCACUAAGUCCAAUUACUGUUGCCUAUAUGUGUAUGGCUGCACAGCAUGGGUAUUUGAUCAACAAAAUGUUGAUUGUGAAAUCUAGAGAAAUGACCCUUUUAUCCAGUACAUGAAUGAAACUAAUAAAAGAAAAGAGAGACUCUGUAGAGUAGAAUACAGAAACAUAUUGUUCAAUCUCAACAUUCAAUAUUGAGUUUGGUUAAAUAUUAAUUUAUGCUAUUAAGUGACUGUGUGACUAUUGGAAUUAAAAUGCUGGUGGGUAUUUGAGUUGUUAAGGAAUUAUUCAGAUUUUAUUGUUAUAUUUUUAGGUGUAAUAAUGAUACUGUGAUUAACCUGUUUUUCUUUUUUUUUUUUUUGUGGAGUGGGGCAUUAUCUCAAAAUAUACAUACUAAAACAUU
Peromyscus maniculatus bairdii (prairie deer mouse) is the source of this 1015-nucleotide non-coding RNA. NCBI's taxonomy places the organism in Eukaryota, Metazoa, Chordata, Mammalia, Rodentia, Cricetidae. The record is from RefSeq and is a predicted model, not a curated record.